This 388-nucleotide ribosomal RNA is filed under the name uncultured bacterium. Its description in RNAcentral is "bacterial SSU rRNA". It matches the Rfam family "Bacterial small subunit ribosomal RNA", at positions 30 to 416 of the family's 1533-position model. The record is from RNAcentral.
AUUGAACGCUGGCGGCAUGCCUUACACAUGCAAGUCGAACGGCAGCACGGGAGCUUGCUCCUGGUGGCGAGUGGCGAACGGGUGAGUAAUGCAUCGGAACGUGCCCUGAAGUGGGGGAUAACGUAGCGAAAGUUACGCUAAUACCGCAUAUUCUGUGAGCAGGAAAGCAGGGGAUCUUCGGACCUUGCGCUUUUGGAGCGGCCGAUGUCGGAUUAGCUAGUUGGUGGGGUAAAGGCCCACCAAGGCGACGAUCCGUAGCGGGUCUGAGAGGAUGAUCCGCCACACUGGAACUGAGACACGGUCCAGACUCCUACGGGAGGCAGCAGUGGGGAAUUUUGGACAAUGGGCGCAAGCCUGAUCCAGCCAUGCCGCGUGAGUGAAGAAGGCC